Non-coding RNA from Salmo salar (Atlantic salmon), 56 nucleotides. NCBI's taxonomy places the organism in Eukaryota, Metazoa, Chordata, Actinopteri, Salmoniformes, Salmonidae. The record is from Rfam.
UGUAUGCACACAUGACUAAGUCGCUUUGGAUAAAAGUGUCUGCGAAAUAGCAUAUA